Molecule: long non-coding RNA, 2458 nt
Organism: Thunnus maccoyii (southern bluefin tuna)
Lineage: Eukaryota; Metazoa; Chordata; Actinopteri; Scombriformes; Scombridae
Exons: 2
Source: RefSeq, a predicted model, not a curated record
CUUUUUCUCUAAUCUUUGAUUUUUUGCUGAAAUAUUGGAUCAUUUGAACAUUUAUUAUACAGUUAGUAUGUUGUAUGGAGUUGGGAAACAGUCUGAGUUUGACCUUAAGAAAAGCAGUUGCGUUCUCGGGGCGGAUUUAAUAGUGCUGUUUUCUUUGUUUUUCUGAGCAGAACUGACUAGUUUAGGUUUAAGUUCAGUUUGUAAUCAUUGUUCUUAGCAUUUAUUUAUUGCUUUUAGAGGUUUUUUUUAACUCGGUUUCCUUCCAGUACUGCGGUUGGUGGUGGUCUCCAGUCACAGGAACAGUUGGGAGUUCAUUCACCUUUGAUAGUUUGGGUUGUUUGGUGACACAUUACUGACACAUUACUGGUCUGUUUCUUGUGUUUGUGGUGUUUUCUGUCCUGCUUUUACAGACAGUAGACUCCCAGUCUCUCUCAGCCUGGUUGGUGGACGCCAGGCCGCAGUAUAUCUAUCAGCUCCCUUCUAUAGCUUUAGUUUUAUUGUUUAAUAAAUUUUUAAUUGGUUUUAAUAAAAGUCCAUUAAGACACACUGACUGUCUUGGUUUCAUCAUUGAAGCCUCUGCAUCUUAAACUGUGACAUAUAUGUGAAAGUCCAAUAAAAAGCACAAUGAGAAAGUUCAGUAGACUGUAGUGCUGAGCUUGAGAGGAAGUCGGGACUUUAGCUAGUUAUUAAACUGUAGCAGCAGCAGCACGUAGUGGAUCAUGGUAAAUGGUGCCACAUGGCAACAGUGGCGGUUUAUCAAACCAUAAUGAUUUUUAAUCCUGGUUAUGAAAUGAAAAGUUUCUUCUUGACACAUUUUAAGAGUUGUGUGCUAGUUAGUUUCACUAAUGCUAAUUAUGAGUGCAGGUUUAAGUCACUGUCACAAAUUUGUUCUUUAGAGGAGAACAAAAGGAUGAAAGUUUAAAAAAAGUUUAGAAACGGCUUGUAGCUACACUUAUGCUAAUUGGUUUAGCGUCUUGACGUUAGCCAGGUUUGAAUCACAAUGUAGCACAAAUUUUAACCAAAUUUCCAGAAAAUCUGCAAAAGACAAUUUGAAUUAAUGCUUGUUAAUAUUAGGAGUUGGGUCGUCAAGGUAAACAACACAACAACAAGCUCAAACGAUGGAAAACAUGUGAGGAAGAUUACAGUCUCCUCAUCGCUGCACACAGAUCUGACGUACGUACGUCAUCAUUUAUUCACUAACACUGUUUACAUUUGCUUUUCAUCCACACAACUACUUUUACAGCUCAGACGAGGAAAAACCUCCAGUUUCUGGUGUUUCUAUGGAAGUUUUUUAAUGGUUAAAUUGAAAAUUGUGAAUAAAAAAGCGGUUGUAUCGAAACGCACUUUCACCACGGCCUCUUUACGCAGUGAUUGGUCGGGUGAGUGGACGGUAGAGAGUGGGCGGGGUUUCAGCUCCUCUCUCAGCUGUCUUUUUUUCAUUCUUCACACAAGUAUUUCUUCUUCUUCUUCAUCCACAUCUGUACGAUUCACCGAGUCUGUUUGUCGCGUUUUGCUUCUCCCGAGACGCCAACUUUUGACUUGAUGCGCAAACUGAAAAUGCAAAUGAAAACAUGUCGAAGGAAACACUUAUUGAUGUUUUUUCCACUUAACUGCUCGUAUUUAUGUCUGAUUGUUAAUGACAUGAAUGUUGAAUGAACUACUCUCUGGUCUGACUGACUCAUAAUUACAUAAUGUUACAUUUUCUCUUUUUCACGUGUCUUUGAUGAAUCUUUAUUAACAACAUGACUCUCCUACAAUGACUUGUUGUUACUCAGACAUGAGUAUUAAUAGUGACCGACUCUGGUUGACUGUCAUUCAUUUUGUACCUAUGUCAUCUUGAGCGCCCUCUGCUGGUCACAUGACAGCAGAGCCUGUUCUGAGCUGUGACGACACUGCGGAGAGCUGCAGGGCCGGCGUCACUACCCGGCACCCCCCCUCCUCCCCUCCCACCCCAGCACGACACAGAACAGCACCGGCAGCGGAUCGCCAUGGCGACCAGCCCAGAUUGCCGGUCACCACAGUGUGAGCGAAUUUGCAAUCAUGCACUGCAGAUCAAGCAGGAACCAGCGGAAAGAUUAAAAGGCGUUGAUGAAGUGGAGCAAAAACAAGGUCACCGCAAACCGGCUGCAUUUGACUGCUGCUGCUGCUGCUGCUGCAGGAAGCUGAGGGAGAGCUGCAGCACAGACACAACACAGGACAUGACGGGAAGGACAGGAAAGGACAGAUAGAGGAGUUAGAUUUAUGAGACGUGAUCAUGAAGAAGCCUCAGGUCGCUGCUCUUUUCUCUAGUUGUUGAUUCACACUGAUUUCCUCCAUACAGAAACCAGCACUUCAUUCAUUUUGUUGAUCUCUACUUUUAUUUGAUUCUCUGUGUGUGUGCAUAAUAUACAUAUUUAUUUGGUUAUGUAUGUAUAUCAAACAUCUGGGGCAUAAAAUAAAAAAAAAGUGUCUUCUGUUU